GCCUUCAGCCUGCCUCAGCCUCCCAAAGUGCCGGGAUUACAGACGUGAGCCACUGUGCCCGGCUGACCUUUUUGACUUUUAUGUAUCAACUUCAGGAGCUGACUCAGAGAAACACACUGCUACCAAGCAGGUUUCCGAGUGUGUAAGUAUGAGGGCCUGUGAAUUGCCCAAGGUCAUGCCCCUAUGGAGGUAAUGCACAUGGGCUGAGGCAGUUUGUUCACGGCAACAGGUGAGCAGAGAUCAAGUCCAGGUGCCUGACUCCUAAGUUAGUCUCUUUUUCAUGUCUCCAAACCACUUGUCUGUUCCCUACCAGACUAGAGGUCCCUUUAGAACUUGCCUUUUUAUCUUUAACUCUGCAGUGCCUGAUGCGUUACCGCAUACAGGGUGUGCGCUCUGAAUAUUCAUUGACUACAUUCUACUAGAGUCAGAGAAACAAGCUCUCCAGCUCCCACGACGGUCCAGGCACAUAGUGGUAACAGGCCUAACUAGAGCUGAGCACUGCAAGAAGAUGUGAAAUAACCCUCUAUUUCUUUUGUACAUCUAGAUUUUCACUAUUCAACACAAAGAAUAGUUUCUCUAGGAAAAGUGCUAAGCCUCAAAUUGCAAUGUAUAAUACAUGGCACAACCUCUGCUGGUGUCACCGGAAACAAUGAGGUUUUCCGAAUAUGUCUAAGAAAUGCACUUAUUUCUACAAAUGGCACAUCGAUUGUUGGAAUUCUGUACCUAACCAACAUAAAUUCUAUGACUAUGAAGGUGGUAUAUACUGUAUGAAAAUGUACAUCAUUAUUUAAAAAUAGGCAUUUCACCGAAAUUGCUAAAUGAGAACUAUGUGUUCUAAGUUCUAGGUCAACUGUCAAUGGGAAAAAUACUUGAUUUAUUUGCCACUUAUGGUAGUAUAGCUUAAAUGGGAUUCUUUCCUUUGUGAGAGAUCCAGAGACGUUGUUCUCACUGGACUCUACAGGGAAAAAAAAGCCCCGUCCCAAGCCCCAGUGCAUUCCCUGGACCCAAACAGUCAUUGUAGCUAAGAGAGCAGAUUUCAUUUCAUCAAUGUACAGAUUUCUGUCUUAAAUGUUACUUCUGCCUGUUAAUACUGUAAGAAAUAAUAUAUCCAUAAAAAUAUAUUUAGGGCAAACAAACAUCACAGCCCUCUCAAAGUUUCAAAACAGAUGCAUAAUCGUUAUCUUCCCAUCUUAGCACAAAAGCUAGAGUUUAUAUGGGAUCUUCAGCUGGUCCAAGUUAUACCGAUUCUUGCCUUUUGACAAAGCAUUAAGACUUUAUUUGAGAUUUUUAAAUUGCAGGUGUGUUCUCAGUAAUGCAGAAUUCAUUUUAAAUAACAUUAUAUUUUUAUUCCCUUACCGGGAUUAUUGUUUGCAAGAAACUCAGUGUUGAGGCUUCACACUGGGAAGGUGGGAGCCAGGCAGAGGCUGACAUGAGGAAACCUCCAUGAGCCAUGACCUUGGGACAUUUGCAGGCCCCCUGCCUCAAACACUCAAGAAACCUAUUUGAGACCAACCUAUCAGCUAAGAAAAUAUCUUUGGUGAAUACAAUGCUGAUUUCAAAGAAUCUCAGAAUUGGAAGUGACCUUUAAAAAAUCACUGUAGCCCAGCCAUCUCUCAGAGCAAAGAUUCUUCUUAUUCUUGAGACAUCAACCCCUUUAAGAUUACAAAAGAAAAGGAAAGAAAAAGAAAAAAGGCUAUGAUCUUCAUCCCAGAAAGAUGCACAUAAUCUACAUAUGAAAAUCAUCACAACUAUUUUCAAGGGAUCCAUUAAGAAUUCCUGCCUUAGAUUCUUGCCGUAUUUGAAAAGAAAGCUAAGGAGACUGAGGGGAGGGUUCCGGGUGUGUUGCAGUGUACACUUCCUUCUGCACUUUCAUCUGAACUGUUCAUGAAGAGCGUCCUUUUCAGCCUAAGUGUCUGAAGGAGGCUCACCAACCUGCCAAGAGGCAGUGCUAUGGCAGAUCUGCAGGAGUGCAUGAACCCCCAGCCAUACUGAUUUCUAAGUGAGCAAUGGCUUCCUCCACGCAUGGACAGGAAAACUUUCCUUGAGCUUCUUUUCAUUCAAUCUAGCAAAAUGGAACAUAAAUGGUCCCAAGUACAAGCCGGAUCCCACCUGAAGUCACCUAUUAACUUGGCUCCAUCCAACAGCUUGCCUCAUUGUCUUCACUUGCACACAAGGAAGGCCAAGCCAGGGAAACACCAGGUAGGCUGGAAAAAUAAGCCUAGGUGAUUGGUUUCUGGCCCAUCAUGCAAUAUUUCUUAUCAGGUUUUGCAACUGGGCUUUGGCUGGGCCUCAGCCCAGAGUCUAGGGAGAAUGGAGAGCUCCUCCUUAGAUUAAGUGGCCAAGGGGUGUGGAGGUUUUCCUCUCACAUUGUUACCAUUGAGGACCAUUUCUUCUCCCCUCCCAGUAGGAGAAAAACACUCAGUCAUAAUAAUUAAUGUACUUUGGAGCUAUUUGGCGUCAAAAAAAUGCCAUGAAGACUAUAGAACACAGAAUCUGAAACAACCUUGAGAACAGUAUGCUGAGUCAAAGAACCAGACACAAAAGGCACAUCUUGCAUGAUUCCAUUUAUAUGAAAUAUCCAAAAAAGGCAAAUUCAUAGAGACACAAUGUAGACUAGUGGUUGCCAGGGGCUGGGAGGAGGGGGAGGGAAGGGUAACUGCUUAAUUGGUCUGUGGUUUCUUUUUGGGGUGACGAAAACAUUGUGGAACUAGAUAGUGGCAGUGGUUACACAACCUUUUGAUUAUAUGAAAUGCCACUGAAUUGUGAGCUUUAAAAUGCCUAAAAUGCUGAAUUUUAUGUUAUGUGUCUUUUACCACAAUAAAAAGAAAAAUCCCAUAGGGUUCUUUUCUAUUAGGCUCGCAAUUUGUUUAGAUAAACAAAAUCAUGUAAAACCAAAACUGGGGAAGCUAUUUUAAUAAAAGAGAAAGGAAGAAAAUUACUGUCACCUGAACAGUGGUGAAGUAUAUUUUUAUCAGAGUUUAACGCAUGCAGGGAGGAAUCAGUCUUCAUAAGCCAAUGCGAUUUCUUCUUUUUACAGAUAAAGAAGUUAAGACUUUUGUGGUAACCUGGUCUUCAGGAGCAGACAUCUAGAUUUGAGUCUUUUUCUAGGCAGAUUUAUGGGCUAUGUGACUUAACUGCAGUUACCUGGGCUCUCAGAACCUCAGUUUCCACAUCAGUAAACUGAAAAUAUCUAGGGCUGAUCUUCCGAAAAUAUCAUCAGACCUCAUGAUUCACCAAAGCCAAAUCAAUUAGAAGUUACUUCGAGAAGAGAGAAUACCACCAUGACAAAGUCUCAGCAGUGCCUCAUAAGAAGGAAGUCAAAAUGGAUAUUUAUAGGGUUUCGGCACCUAGAGGCACAUAUGAUUCACAGCAGGUCUUUCAAAGUGCAACCGGUUGAGAUUGGGCAGGCUGUGCAACAUAAUAGUGUAAGAUUGGCCGGCUUAGCAGCACAAAGGUCUUGAAGCAAGUCUUGACAAGUGAACUGUUGUUUGAAUAGCCAGCUGCUUGCCUGUUGUCUCAGAUAAAUUCCUACAGGAAUUUUCUGAAGCAAACUGUGCAGUUAUUUAUUGAUUUACAGACUUACUCCUGUUGAGGGAAGAGUUCCUGGAACAAACAGCUAAAUUGUGAUAACACAGGUGGUCUCAGUUUCAGUCCUCAGUCUGUCAUGUCUGAUACUGGCUGGAGUUCCCAGAGAUGCUAUGGUCACGUGUCAAGUGCAUAGCCUGGGAACUCAAUAAAUCCUUCAUUUUUCCCCAAAGCAUCACCACCAUUCCCUCUCAAAACUCGCUCCUUGAUAGUGAAUCUCUGUCAGAACUAGAAGCAAGGUUUGUGCUGUACAGACUGGAACCCUUCCUGCCAUCCACUGGCGGACUGGGCUCCACUUCUUUGGUCAAAGGCAAAUUCAUUCAGCUACAAUAAAAAGUCCCAAGUCUUUUCACCACUCUGAAUAAGGUAGCAGCAGAACGCAGGGUUAUGAUGCUGACAGACCAAGGCCCUAGGUUCCCUGUCGCUUGAUUUGUGACCCUAGGCCAGUUAUCUCCCUCUUUCAGCCUCACUUCCUCAUCCAGAAGAUGAGGACGAUCAUGCUUAGCACACAAUACAUAUUCGGCUAACUUUUUAAAUUAAGUAAAUUGUUGUCUUAAAUUUUAUUUAAAUUUUUUUUCUAAGGUUGCAUAAAGAUGAAAUUUUCUUGUUUUGUUUCCAUUUGUUUCCGGUUGUCUCUUAUCUUCUGGGAGGACCUGGGUUACGGCUCCCUGGACAUGAAGGAAUCAGUCUUUCAUGUGGGAUCCUGGGCCUGACCUGUUCAGAGGGAGAAUGCAGAAUCUCACGGGACAAGGGAAAUUCAAGCUUUCAAAUCUACAGAGCCCUAGGACAUGGGAGACUAUUAAGUUCACUAGAGCAGAAGAUCUUUAAAUAGUAGCCCCUGGAGCCCUGAUGACACAGAAAGAAUUCUCAAGGUCUCCUAGAGAAAAUACUCCAUCAACUUUACGGCCAACGUGAGAUUUUGAAGAAGGGAAGACAAGUGCAACCGGUUGAGGACGGCGCACAGAGGGCUUCUAAAUUCUUCUGCAGUUUGUAGUGCUACAGAUAAGUUUUUCCAUGGGGCAGUCCAACCUCUGUUGCUGCAAGACCUGUUUUUUUUUUUUUUUAAACAAGUCAGUAAACUAACUGGAACUUCU
Molecule: non-coding RNA, 4679 nt
Organism: Macaca mulatta (Rhesus monkey)
Lineage: Eukaryota; Metazoa; Chordata; Mammalia; Primates; Cercopithecidae
Source: RefSeq, a predicted model, not a curated record